RNAcentral lists this non-coding RNA (322 nucleotides) under Selaginella moellendorffii. Its description in RNAcentral is "rRNA LSU_rRNA_eukarya". It matches the Rfam family "Eukaryotic large subunit ribosomal RNA", at positions 28 to 347 of the family's 3401-position model. Lineage: Eukaryota; Viridiplantae; Streptophyta; Lycopodiopsida; Selaginellales; Selaginellaceae. The record is from Rfam by way of RNAcentral.
UUCAUUUUGGAAGCAUAUUACUAAACGGAGGAAAAGAAACUAACAAGGAUUUCCCUAAUAGUGGUGAACAAAAUAGAAAAAGCCCAACUUGGAAAUCAAUGUGUUUUGUACACUGAAUUGUAGUCUAGAGAAGGGUCCUUUGUAGUAGACCGGGUUUAAGUCCCUUGGAACGGGACGCCAGAAAGGGUGAGAGCCCUGUCUAGCCUGGACCCUGCUGCAUCACGAGGCUCUUUCAGCAAGUUAGGCUGUUUGGGAAUGCAGCCUUAAGUGGGUGGUAAAUUCCAUCCAAGGUUAAAUACUGGUUGAGCCUUUUACUGGAAAG